ACCUGAUCCAUUCCAUUCCGCGUGAGUGAAGAAGGCCUUCGGGUUGUAAAGCUCUUUCGCAAGGGAAGAAACGAUACAGUCUAAUAAACUGUGUUAAUGACGGUACCUUGAUAAGAAGCACCGGCUAACUACGUGCCAGCAGCCGCGGUAAUACGUAGGGUGCGAGCGUUAAUCGGAAUUACUGGGCGUAAAGCGUGCGCAGGCGGUUUUGAAAGUCAGAUGUGAAAUCCCCGGGCUCAACCUGGGAACUGCGUUUGAAACUCCAAAGCUAGAGUAUGGGAGAGGGGGGUAGAAUUCCACGUGUAGCAGUGAAAUGCGUAGAGAUGUGGAGGAAUACCAAUGGCGAAGGCAGACCCCUGACUUAAUACUGACGCUCAUGCACCGAAAGCGUGGGGAGCAAACAGGAUUAGAUACCCUGGUAGUCCACGCCCUAAACGAUGUCUACUAAUUGUUGGGAGAGUAAAAUCUCUUAGUAACGCAGCUAACGCGUGAAGUAGAACGCCUGGGGAGUACGGUCGCAAGAUUAAAACUCAGAGGAAUUGACGGGGGACCGAAAAGCGGUGGAUCUGUGGAUUAUUCGAUGCACGCGAA
Molecule: ribosomal RNA, 591 nt
Filed under: uncultured bacterium
Lineage: Bacteria
Description: bacterial SSU rRNA
Rfam family: Bacterial small subunit ribosomal RNA
Source: RNAcentral